RNAcentral lists this transfer RNA (76 nucleotides) under Staphylococcus aureus. Its description in RNAcentral is "tRNA-Asp(gtc)". It matches the Rfam family "tRNA". From Rfam's summary of the family: Transfer RNA (tRNA) molecules are approximately 80 nucleotides in length. Their secondary structure includes four short double-helical elements and three loops (D, anti-codon, and T loops). Lineage: Bacteria; Bacillati; Bacillota; Bacilli; Caryophanales; Staphylococcaceae. The record is from RNAcentral.
GGUCUCGUAGUGUAGCGUUUAACCCGCCUGCCUGUCACGCAGGAGAUCGCGGGUUCGAUUCCCGUCGAGACCGCCA